This 94-nucleotide non-coding RNA is filed under the name human gut metagenome. RNAcentral's name for it is "THF riboswitch". It matches the Rfam family "THF (Tetrahydrofolate) riboswitch aptamer". From Rfam's summary of the family: THF riboswitch presents a pseudoknot that joins P1-P2 and the loop of P3 and two THF binding. The record is from RNAcentral.
CAGAGUAGGUUUGCAAGCGUUAAGUGUCGUGUGAACGGGGAGUUGUCACAUGAACGAAAAGAUUUCUUGCGAUGAGCAAACCGCAUCCCGCUGU